AAUUCUGUCAAAACAUGCACUUGAGUGUGUUUUGGAUUAUGGGAGUGUCUGCUGGCUUGUUUUAUAUGUGAGCCAGCUCUCCUGAAAGACAUUAGCUUUGGAGAGAUGUGCCAAGUCACUUCUGCCUUUCCAUUGGUGUGAUAGAUGAAUAACCUUAUCUACACCAGGAAAGCAGGUUGCAUGUGAAGCACAGUGAUCUCUCUGCUCUCUAAUUGACAUUUGUCUGAUA
RNAcentral lists this unclassified non-coding RNA (229 nucleotides) under uncultured Amanita. RNAcentral's name for it is "sequence contains ITS2". The record is from RNAcentral. Lineage: Eukaryota; Fungi; Basidiomycota; Agaricomycetes; Agaricales; Amanitaceae.